This 72-nucleotide transfer RNA is filed under the name Camelus bactrianus (Bactrian camel). It matches the Rfam family "tRNA". Rfam says of the family: Transfer RNA (tRNA) molecules are approximately 80 nucleotides in length. Their secondary structure includes four short double-helical elements and three loops (D, anti-codon, and T loops). Lineage: Eukaryota; Metazoa; Chordata; Mammalia; Artiodactyla; Camelidae. RNAcentral also lists the same sequence under 1 other name. The record is from Rfam by way of RNAcentral.
GAGGGUGUAGCUCAGUGGUAGAGUGUGUGUUUAGCAUGCACGAGGUCCUGGGUUCAAUCUCCAGGACCUCCC